GUCCGAGUCGUCUAGAGGUUAGGCCAACGCGUUGUGGCUGUGUAGACCCAGGUUCAAUUCCCGGUUCGGCCA
This 72-nucleotide transfer RNA is filed under the name Toxoplasma gondii VEG. It matches the Rfam family "tRNA". From Rfam's summary of the family: Transfer RNA (tRNA) molecules are approximately 80 nucleotides in length. Their secondary structure includes four short double-helical elements and three loops (D, anti-codon, and T loops). Lineage: Eukaryota; Apicomplexa; Conoidasida; Eucoccidiorida; Sarcocystidae. RNAcentral also lists the same sequence under 1 other name. The record is from Rfam by way of RNAcentral.